Molecule: ribosomal RNA, 483 nt
Filed under: uncultured bacterium
Lineage: Bacteria
Description: bacterial SSU rRNA
Rfam family: Bacterial small subunit ribosomal RNA
Source: RNAcentral
AAUCAACGCUGGCGGCGUGCCUCAGACAUGCAAGUCGAACGAUUAAACUUCCUUUCGGGGAAGAUAUAAAGUGGCGUACGGUGAGUAACACGUAGGUAAUGUACCUUUGGGUGGGGAAUAACUUAGGGAAACUUAAGCUAAUACCGCAUAAUGCAGCGGCUCGAUAUCGAGGCAGUUGUUAAAGGAGUAAUCCGCCUAAAGAGCAGCCUGCGGCAGAUUAGCUAGUUGGUAAGGUAAUGGCUUACCAAGGCUACGAUCUGUAACCGACCUGAGAGGGUGGUCGGUCACACUGACACUGAAUAACGGGUCAGACUCCUACGGGAGGCAGCAGUCGGGAAUUUUGGGCAAUGGGCGAAAGCCUGACCCAGCAACGCCGCGUGAAGGAUGAAGUCUCUCGGGAUGUAAACUUCGUAAGAAUAGGAAGAAUAAAUGACGGUACUAUUUGUAAGGUCCGGCUAACUACGUGCCAGCAGCCGCGGUAAU